Pimephales promelas (fathead minnow) is the source of this 717-nucleotide non-coding RNA. Lineage: Eukaryota; Metazoa; Chordata; Actinopteri; Cypriniformes; Leuciscidae. The record is from RefSeq and is a predicted model, not a curated record.
UUCAGCACCUUCAGGAUUUCUGCCGUCUGUGACGUGGCUGCACUGUUGUUAUCUGAUGUGUGCUCAGACUUGUGCUUACCAGUGGCGUGUUGAGAGGGUACCGCUCUGGGCUGGUUGGGCUUGAGUCUCUUGGUGCUGGGCGGUCCAUUCUGGGUCGCCGGCUGGCUUCCAGAAAUGUUUCAGAGCUCUUGCUCUGGGGCGUUAGAUGAGCACCAUGACUGUUGUGUUGCCCUCUGCUGGCCUGGAACGGUUUAACUCUCAGUGAAGGUGUUUGUGAUGUAUGGGGUGCCUUCUAGGGGCAGCUCUGAGUCGUGCUCAGAGACAGGUUAGUCUGAGGGUUUUUACACAGUCUUUUCGGACAAAGCCUUUGCUUAAUGUGAGCUUUGCGGGCCCAGUCUCGUAGCUGAGGUAGACAGGCUACAAGCACAGGCCAGGGUGCUUAUCGACUAACUCACUGUGGGAUGCAGGUUUUAAGGGAACAAAGUUCUGAAACUGGUAUCCUUUUCAUACCUGAUGGUUUGCUUCUCGAAGUAGGCUUGCCGAAGUCGGUGGAGUUUCAAGUCGGUCUUACUUGAUGUCCACGGUGGUGAUAACCCUUGGUCUGAUUCUGGAUCAGGGAGUUAAGCGAUCAAAGCUUAUUGCAACAGCUGGUAGUCCAUUUUGACAGUCUCUGUUUGACGAUCUAGGAAGCUGUGCACCUCGCGACUGGACGUAAUC